GUCCACGCCGUAAACGAUGAGUGCUAGGUGUCACGGGCUUUGACCCUCGUGGUGCCGAAGCUAACGCGUUAAGCACUACGCCUGGGGAGUACGGCCGCAAGGCUAAAACUCAAAGGAAUUGACGGGGGCCCGCACAAGCGGUGGAGCAUGUUGUUUAAUUCGACGCAACGCGAAGAACCUUACCUGGGCUAGAAAACACGAGAAUCCGGGCGAAAGUUCGGAGUGCCUUUCGGGGAACUCGUGGUUAGGUGCUGCAUGGCUGUCGU
Molecule: ribosomal RNA, 266 nt
Filed under: uncultured bacterium
Lineage: Bacteria
Description: partial 16S ribosomal RNA
Rfam family: Bacterial small subunit ribosomal RNA
Source: RNAcentral